CAACUUUCAGCAACGGAUCUCUUGGCUCUCGCAUCGAUGAAGAACGCAGCGAAAUGCGAUAAGUAAUGUGAAUUGCAGAAUUCAGUGAAUCAUCGAAUCUUUGAACGCACCUUGCGCUCCUUGGUAUUCCGAGGAGCAUGCCUGUUUGAGUCUCAU
This 156-nucleotide ribosomal RNA is filed under the name Thanatephorus cucumeris. Its description in RNAcentral is "5.8S ribosomal RNA". It matches the Rfam family "5.8S ribosomal RNA". From Rfam's summary of the family: 5.8S ribosomal RNA (5.8S rRNA) is a component of the large subunit of the eukaryotic ribosome. It is transcribed by RNA polymerase I as part of the 45S precursor that also contains 18S and 28S rRNA. Functionally, it is thought that 5.8S rRNA may be involved in ribosome translocation. Lineage: Eukaryota; Fungi; Basidiomycota; Agaricomycetes; Cantharellales; Ceratobasidiaceae. The record is from RNAcentral.